Molecule: long non-coding RNA, 252 nt
Filed under: Lathyrus oleraceus (garden pea)
Lineage: Eukaryota; Viridiplantae; Streptophyta; Magnoliopsida; Fabales; Fabaceae
Description: Pisum sativum (pea) long non-coding RNA (PSAT_LNC010275)
Source: RNAcentral
ACUCGGCAUGAUGUCGCAUUCUGGGCCUACGUAGUUUGUCAGAAACAAACAUCAGAGUCAACGUAGUCCGGGGAAAUGGGGGACAUGCUCACUAGGAUAUCGCAUCCUAUGCCUACGUAUCUCAUCUGGAAUGAGAAUCAGAGUUGUCGUAGUUCGGCUAACGCACGCUGAAACAAAACACCGAAAAGAGACGCUGAGACGUCAAAAGAAACACUCAAAAGGAAACAGAAUGUCAAUACAUGGACUUACAUC